UACGUAGGAUGCAAGCGUUGUCCGGAUUUACUGGGCGUAAAGCGCGCGCAGGCGGCAGGUUAAGUAAGGUGUGAAAUCUCCCUGCUCAACGGGGAGGGUGCACUUUAGACUGACCAGCUAGAGGACGGUAGAGGGUGGUGGAAUUGCUGGUGUAGCGGUGAAAUGCGUAGAGAUCAGCAGGAACACCCGUGGCGAAGGCGGCCACCUGGGCCGUACCUGACGCUGAGGCGCGAAGGCUAGGGGAGCGAACGGG
This 253-nucleotide ribosomal RNA is filed under the name uncultured prokaryote. RNAcentral describes it as "partial 16S ribosomal RNA". It matches the Rfam family "Bacterial small subunit ribosomal RNA", at positions 524 to 776 of the family's 1533-position model. The record is from RNAcentral.